Molecule: long non-coding RNA, 522 nt
Organism: Homo sapiens (human)
Lineage: Eukaryota; Metazoa; Chordata; Mammalia; Primates; Hominidae
Source: Ensembl
AUUAUCUCUGCUAUUGAAAGCACAAGGAGGAGGAAUUGCAGCUGGCCACUAGAGGGAGCCUCAUUCACGGAUCUUAUGGAAUCAAGUUUAGGAGGACCAAGUGUCGCCACGUCUAGGCUUCCUGGGCACUUUGACACCAUCCAGGCUUCUUGUGAGGAGGAGGUAUCAACAGCUGUGCCCACUGGGAGGCUUUCAGAUGCAGCAUCCACCAAGGAAUACACCGACUAACACACAUGACAGCCUGAACUAGCAACCUGCAUCAACACCCCUGCAGAAAAGCAGUGCAUUUCAACUGCUCAUUUAAUAAGUAUUUGAAUUCAUAAUUACAAAACAUCUUCUGUAAUUAAACCACCAUAUGCAUUUAAAAUAUUUUGGGGACAAAGAGUAGCAAAGAAUUAUAUUGGAUAUUGACUAAAAACACUUAUGAAUAUCAAUAAUUUGCUCCUCCUCCCUUUUCAUCAUAGACUCUUUACAAUGAUACUGACCUUGGGGUUGAUCACAAAGUAGGUUUUCACCAGGUGC